UGUAGACCAAAGAGCUACCUACUGGUUAACGAUGGUAUGAAUCUUGUUAAAAAAAAUAAACUAUUUUUAUGAUGCAUACUUGGUCAUUGCCAAGUUAGAGGCAUUUUGAAUUUGGAAAAUAAUAACAGUGACCUUUCAGUAGUUUACAUGCCUUCCUCCAGCCAAGGCUACUGUAAGAAAUACUGCAUACAAACUUCUUUCAUAGAUCUCCAUGCCAGCAAUGAAAAGGAGCAAGAAGCAGAAAAAAAUGGAAGUUAUUGUAAUGGGAUGCUAAAGAUUGUUGAAGCCUCACCACGGUGUUUCCUGAUACAGCAUGUUAAAAAAUAAGGAUCGUUCAUCUAAAAAAAGUAACUUAGCAGU
Molecule: long non-coding RNA, 360 nt
Filed under: Rattus norvegicus (Norway rat)
Lineage: Eukaryota; Metazoa; Chordata; Mammalia; Rodentia; Muridae
Description: long non-coding RNA NONRATT020100
Source: RNAcentral